Pieris napi is the source of this 606-nucleotide long non-coding RNA. RefSeq lists it as uncharacterized. The transcript is spliced from 3 exons. NCBI's taxonomy places the organism in Eukaryota, Metazoa, Arthropoda, Insecta, Lepidoptera, Pieridae. The record is from RefSeq and is a predicted model, not a curated record.
GACAUAUGACUCUUUUUACAGAAUUGCCACGCUUCGGUUCCACGUUUUGAAGACUUCCGCUUUCUAUGGCCUGAAUUUUAAUACACCCGAAGAUAAGCUGCUCUUUGGCCAUAGCGGAACAUCAAAAGUCAUGAGUCCAGCGCAGACACCUGAAGAAACCAUGAAGAUUGAGACACAGAACAACACCCUCGCAACUUACUUUAGGCGAAGAACCAUACUAAAAUUUUAGGCUCGUUAAUCUAAUACUAUUAACAGAUUCUCGAACCCAAGACGAAUCCAAUCCGGUCGUUAAACUCAAAAAAAAUUUUUUUUUUUUAUUCAAUAACAAGUUACAUUUUUAGCAGAUAUUGGAGCUCUUGAACUAAGUCUAGGGAGACCUGUACAUCAGGGUACUCCGCUCUUCCAAUAAUAUAUCUAAGUUACUAUAACUUAACAAUAAUUGAAACCAAAAUACUACAUAAUAAAGAAAAACAGAAAUCUAAGACUAAUUACUAAACUAAGGAUACAGGUUUACAUUUGUACGCACCAGAAUGAUAAUCUUAGAAAACUUUUCACAAGUUUUCCUUGAAAACGUAAAUAAUAAAAAAGAACAAGGUAUUUCCCCUG